GUCUAUGGCCAUACUACUCAGAGUGUGCCCAAUCUUGUUUGAUCUUGGAAGCCAAGCAGGGUUGGGCCAAGUUAGUACUUGGAUGGGAGAAAACUCUCCCUGAAGCAGACGUUGUAGCUG
This 120-nucleotide ribosomal RNA is filed under the name Propithecus coquereli (Coquerel's sifaka). Lineage: Eukaryota; Metazoa; Chordata; Mammalia; Primates; Indriidae. The record is from RNAcentral.